RNAcentral lists this ribosomal RNA (200 nucleotides) under uncultured bacterium. RNAcentral's name for it is "partial 16S ribosomal RNA". It matches the Rfam family "Bacterial small subunit ribosomal RNA", at positions 524 to 725 of the family's 1533-position model. The record is from RNAcentral.
UACGGAGGUGCAAGCGUUAUCCGGAUUCACUGGGUUAAAGGGUGCGUAGGCGGGCAGGUAAGUCCGUGGUGAAAUCUCUGAGCUUAACUCAGAAACUGCCAUGGAUACUAUUGUCUUGAAUGUUGUGGAGGUAAGCGGAAUAUGUCAUGUAGCGGUGAAAUGCUUAGAUAUGACAUAGAACACCAAUUGCGAAAGGCAGC